GAGAUGUUGGGUUAAGUCCCGGCAACGAGCGCAACCCUCGACCUUAGUUGCCAGCAUUCAGUUGGCACUCUAAGGGUGACUGCCGGCUAAAAGUCGGAGGAAGGUGGGAUGACGUCAAAUCAUCAUGCCCCUUAUGACCUGGGCUACACACGUGCUACAAUGGGCGGUACAAAGGGUCGCGAACCCGCGAGGGGGAGCCAAUCCCAAAAAGCCGCUCUCAGUUCGGAUUGCAGGCUGCAACUCGCCUGCAUGAAGCCGGAAUCGCUAGUAAUCGCGGAUCAGCAUGCCGCGGUGAAUACGUUCCCGGGCCUU
This 312-nucleotide ribosomal RNA is filed under the name uncultured Anoxybacillus sp. RNAcentral describes it as "bacterial SSU rRNA". It matches the Rfam family "Bacterial small subunit ribosomal RNA", at positions 1069 to 1382 of the family's 1533-position model. Lineage: Bacteria; Bacillati; Bacillota; Bacilli; Caryophanales; Anoxybacillaceae. The record is from RNAcentral.